Non-coding RNA from Podarcis lilfordi (Lilford's wall lizard), 74 nucleotides. The record is from the annotation of a GenBank genome assembly. Lineage: Eukaryota; Metazoa; Chordata; Lepidosauria; Squamata; Lacertidae.
GUACGUUCACCCGAAGCCUCCGGAGCCCAGCGGGAGUUCCCGUUGGGCUCCGGAGGCUUUGGGUUCCUUUUGAC